Molecule: ribosomal RNA, 411 nt
Filed under: uncultured bacterium
Lineage: Bacteria
Description: bacterial SSU rRNA
Rfam family: Bacterial small subunit ribosomal RNA
Source: RNAcentral
GCGGCACGCCUAACACAUGCAAGUCGAACGAGUAGCAAUACUUAGUGGCAGACGGGUGAGUAACAUGUGGGUAUCUACCCUUUGGCCUGGAAUAACACGAGGAAACUUGUGCUAAUACCGGAUAAGUCUUUACGGAGAAAGCUUUAUGCACCAUUGGAUGAGCCUGCACUUGAUUAGUUUGUUGGUAGGGUAAUGGCCUACCAAGACUAUGAUCAAUAGCUGAUUUGAGAGGAUGAUCAGCCACAUUGGGACUGAGACACGGCCCAAACUCCUACGGGAGGCAGCAGUGGGGAAUCUUGCACAAUGGAGGAAACUCUGAUGCAGCGAUGCCGCGUGAGUGAAGAAGGCCCUUGGGUUGUAAAGCUCUUUCGUCGGGGAAGAAAAUGACUGUACCCGAAUAAGAAGGUCCGG